Molecule: microRNA precursor, 61 nt
Filed under: Pristionchus pacificus
Lineage: Eukaryota; Metazoa; Nematoda; Chromadorea; Rhabditida; Neodiplogasteridae
Description: mir-8364 microRNA precursor family
Rfam family: mir-8364 microRNA precursor family
Source: Rfam by way of RNAcentral
UCUUCAUUUCGAACACUCUCUCAUCGGUCAGAGAAGCGAGAAAGCGUAGGAAAUGAGGAGA